This 327-nucleotide ribosomal RNA is filed under the name Clostridioides difficile. RNAcentral describes it as "bacterial LSU rRNA". It matches the Rfam family "Bacterial large subunit ribosomal RNA", at positions 1950 to 2275 of the family's 2925-position model. Lineage: Bacteria; Bacillati; Bacillota; Clostridia; Peptostreptococcales; Peptostreptococcaceae. The record is from RNAcentral.
CCUAAGGUAGCGAAAUUCCUUGUCGGGUAAGUUCCGACCCGCACGAAAGGCGUAACGAUUUGGGCACUGUCUCAACAACAGACUCGGUGAAAUUGUAAUUCCGGUGAAGAUGCCGGAUACCUGCGACAGGACGGAAAGACCCCAUGGAGCUUUACUGUAGCUUGACAUUGGGUCUUGGUACUACAUGUACAGGAUAGGUGGGAGGCUUUGAAACCAGGACGCCAGUUUUGGCGGAGCCAUCCUUGGGAUACCACCCUUGUAGUACUGGGACUCUAACCAUAGGCCAUGAAUCUGGUCUUGGGACACUGUCAGGUGGGCAGUUUGACU